CAAUCCCUACCCGAGUGGGUGGGGUCAAUGCCUGAAAGGGGAAGAGCUUCCUGCGGAGGCCCCGGAGUCCCAGUGAGACCACGCCUCCUCAUGAGGACAGCCAAUCAGGAUCUGAGGCGCUGCUUUCUCCAUUAUGAAGAACUAGCCUUUGACGGGUCUGGGUCCUGGGAGUCCCAGUGAAGCAAGAGGAGUUGGCGUGGGUCAAGGUCUGUUCCCAAGAAAUUCAGCGUCUGCCUUUACCUGAGCGGAAAGAUCAUGGUCCCCAAACCUAAGCCCCCACCAGCCGAAAAUGCUAAACCACAGUCGCCGGAAGAACUGGCAUUUUAUGCUCCGAACCACCUAUGUUUGGUCGUUUUGGGUAUAUUGCUUUGCCUUCCCUUGGGACUUCUAGCUUUCAAGGAGAGAAAAAAGAUCAUACUGGCUAAUCGCAACAGCGAAUGGGAACAGGCUUACAAAAGCUCACGCAAAACUGGUUGGCUAUCUGUGUUCUCCAUACUCGGUGGUUUGGCCAUCAUUUAUAUACUUUUUCUAUAUAUAUGAGGACCAGGAGCAGCAUCCCCCGACGUCUACUCCCCAACAGACCAACCCACAAAGAGACUAAACAGCUAUCAGGCAAGAAAAUCAAUAGCCGAGACAUCCCCUAGCCAAGAAACCCACCAGCCAAGGAACUCAACAUCCAAGCAUCCCAGCAGCCCGACAACAUCUAGGUCACCUGUCUGUACUACUUAAGCAGACCCGGCUUCCAGAGCUGUCUUCAUCCACCUUAGGGCUCCACACUUCAUGUCCUAGAUCUUCUUCCUUGACUCUGGGAUAUGCUUACAGAAAAAUUUUUUAUUUAAACCAAUAAAAUUAAAGGGAAUGUUCUACCUU
Ictidomys tridecemlineatus (thirteen-lined ground squirrel) is the source of this 870-nucleotide non-coding RNA. Lineage: Eukaryota; Metazoa; Chordata; Mammalia; Rodentia; Sciuridae. The record is from RefSeq and is a predicted model, not a curated record.